GUCCACGCUGUAAACGAUGAGAACUGGAUGUUGGGAGACUUGAUCUCUUGGUAUCGAAGCUAACGCGAUAAGUUCUCCGCCUGGGGAGUACGGCCGCAAGGUUAAACUCAAAGGAAUUGACGGGGGCCCGCACAAGCGGUGGAGCAUGUGGUUUAAUUCUAUGCAACGCGAAGAACCUUACCUACCCUUGACAUCCAUGGAAUCCUGCAGAGAUGCGGGAGUGCCGAAAGGAACCGUGAGACAGGUGCUGCAUGGCUGUCGU
This 262-nucleotide ribosomal RNA is filed under the name uncultured bacterium. RNAcentral describes it as "partial 16S ribosomal RNA". It matches the Rfam family "Bacterial small subunit ribosomal RNA", at positions 793 to 1055 of the family's 1533-position model. The record is from RNAcentral.